This 516-nucleotide long non-coding RNA is filed under the name Coffea arabica (coffee). RNAcentral describes it as "long non-coding RNA (CARA_LNC007617)". The record is from RNAcentral. Lineage: Eukaryota; Viridiplantae; Streptophyta; Magnoliopsida; Gentianales; Rubiaceae.
CAAGUAAACUUGCCCAUGAGACUCCAACAGAUAAACUUUUUGUCUACUUGUCCAUUUUCAACACAAAGUCAACAACAAAAAUAAAAUAAAAUAAGAGCUUUAAAAAGAAUGAUGUAUAUUGGUAUUUAUAAGAGAAAAUAAAUAAUAGAAAUGGAAAUACAUAUGCACAAAUACCCAGAUACAAACAGAUAUACCAUAGGCAUGAUAAUUCAGUUUAGAAGAUCAGUAAGCAAGGAUGAUAUUGUUCUUACCCAUAGAUACUCUUCUCCUUGAUAGCUCCCAAGGUAGCGAACAACGUUAGGAUGAUUACAUUGUUGCAACAUCUCAAUUUCGCCUCGAAUUUCUUCAUACCCCUCCUCCUGAAGAUAUAGAUAUAGUUCUAAACCUCAAUUCCUGGUUUCGCUGAACACACUUAACACUGUACAUGAACACUUCAAAAUCACAAGAAAUCAUACCCCUUCACUCAAAGAUAUUACUUUGAUAGCAACCAACUCUGAAGUUUUCUUAUCCCGAGCC